Molecule: ribosomal RNA, 484 nt
Filed under: uncultured bacterium
Lineage: Bacteria
Description: partial 16S ribosomal RNA
Rfam family: Bacterial small subunit ribosomal RNA
Source: RNAcentral
AUUGAACGCUGGCGGCAGGCCUAACACAUGCAAGUCGAGCGGAUGAAGGGAGCUUGCUCCUGGAUUCAGCGGCGGACGGGUGAGAAAUGCCUAGGAAUCUGCCUGGUAGUGGGGGAUAACGUCCGGAAACGGGCGCUAAUCCCGCAUACGUCCUGAGGGAGAAAGUGGGGGAUCUUCGGACCUCACGCUAUCAGAUGAGCCUAGGUCGGAUUAGCUAGUUGGUGGGGUAAAGGCCUACCAAGGCGACGAUCCGUAACUGGUCUGAGAGGAUGAUCAGUCACACUGGAACUGAGACACGGUCCAGACUCCUACGGGAGGCAGCAGUGGGGAAUAUUGGACAAUGGGCGAAAGCCUGAUCCAGCCAUGCCGCGUGUGUGAAGAAGGUCUUCGGAUUGUAAAGCACUUUAAGUUGGGAGGAAGGGCAGUAAGUUAAUACCUUGCUGUUUUGACGUUACCAACAGAAUAAGCACCGGCUAACUUCGUG